This 898-nucleotide ribosomal RNA is filed under the name Colymbomorpha sp. NLG-2014. RNAcentral's name for it is "partial 16S ribosomal RNA". The stretch from base 749 to 898 matches the Rfam family "Archaeal large subunit ribosomal RNA", at positions 2542 to 2692 of the family's 2987-position model. The record is from RNAcentral. Lineage: Eukaryota; Metazoa; Arthropoda; Insecta; Coleoptera; Scarabaeidae.
UAAACUAGGAUUAGAUACCCUAUUAUUGAAAAUGUAAAAAUGUAAUACUUGAGUAGUAGUAGUUAUGUUCUUGAAAUUUAAAGAAUUUGGCGGUAUUUUAGUCUUUUCAGAGGAACCUGUUCUAUAAUUGAUAUUCCACGAUUAAUUUUACUUAUUUUAUUAGUUUAUAUAUCGUCGUAGUUUGAAUGUUUUAUAAGAAUAAUAAUAUUCAAUAUUUAUAAUUAUAUAAUAAAUCAGAUCAAGGUGUAGCUUAUAGAUAAGGAGAAAUGGGUUACAAUAAAUUUAUUUGCAGUUAAAGUAUUUAAUAUAUUUUAUAAGAAGAGAGUUUGAAAGUAAUAUAAUUUAUUUAAAUUAUGAUGAUUAUAGCUCUAUAAUAUGCACAUAUCGUCCCGUCGUACCCAUAAAUGGCCCCGUGUAUUUUGACCGUGCAAAGGUAGAUCAUUAAAAGGUUUUUUAAUUGAAAGCUGGAAUGAAAGGUUAGACCAGUAAAGAUAGUACUGUCUUAAAUUAAUUUAAAUUAGAACUUUAUUUUUAAGUUAAAAAGCUUAAUUAUAUUUAAAAGACGAGAAGACCCUGUAGAGUUUUAUAGUAUAUAAUAUUAAAUUAAUUUAUAGUUAAAGUUUAGCUUAAUAUUAUUAUCUAUUUUGUUGGGGUGACAGAAAAAUUGAAUUAACUUUUUUUUAAUUGAUUUAUUAAUAAAUAUUUUUAUGAUCCAUUUUUAAUGAUUAAAAGAUUAAAUUACCUCAGGGAUAACAGCGUAAUUAUUUUUAAGAGUUCUUAUCGAAAAAAUAGGUUGCGACCUCGAUGUUGGAUUAAAAUUAACUUUUGGUGAAGAAGCUAAAAGGUUAGGUCUGUUCGACCUUUAAAAUUUUACAUGAUCUGAGUUCAAACCGGAGAU